CCUACGGGGGGCAGCAGUGGGGAAUAUUGGACAAUGGGGGGAACCCUGAUCCAGCCAUGCCGCGUGUGUGAAGAAGGCCCUCGGGUUGUAAAGCACUUUCAGUGAGGAAGAACGCCUGGUGGUUAAUACCCAUCAGGAAAGACAUCACUCACAGAAGAAGCACCGGCUAACUCCGUGCCAGCAGCCGCGGUAAUACGGAGGGUGCGAGCGUUAAUCGGAAUUACUGGGCGUAAAGCGCGCGUAGGUGGCUUGAUAAGCCGGUUGUGAAAGCCCCGGGCUCAACCUGGGAACGGCAUCCGGAACUGUCAAGCUAGAGUGCAGGAGAGGAAGAUAGAAUUCCCGGUGUAGCGGUGAAAUGCGUAGAGAUCGGGAGGAAUACCAGUGGCGAAGGCGGCCUUCUGGACUGACACUGACACUGAGGUGCGAAAGCGUGGGUAGCAAACAGGAUUAGAUACCCGUGUAGUC
Molecule: ribosomal RNA, 465 nt
Filed under: Vreelandella stevensii
Lineage: Bacteria; Pseudomonadati; Pseudomonadota; Gammaproteobacteria; Oceanospirillales; Halomonadaceae
Description: partial 16S ribosomal RNA
Rfam family: Bacterial small subunit ribosomal RNA
Source: RNAcentral